This 333-nucleotide unclassified non-coding RNA is filed under the name uncultured Actinomycetes bacterium. RNAcentral's name for it is "uncultured actinobacterium contains 16S-23S intergenic spacer region". The record is from RNAcentral. Lineage: Bacteria; Bacillati; Actinomycetota; Actinomycetes.
UCCGAUAUGAGCCGGGUUUUCCCCAGGAAUCGCUUCCUGGGGCCGCGAAUAGGUCACGGCACGAGCUGACGACAGCCAUGCACCACCUGUCAGGGGCCCUUACGGACACUGCAUCUCUGCAGCUUUUCCCCUGAUGUCAAACCCAGGUAAGGUUCUUCGCGUUGCCUCGAAUUAAGCCACAUGCUCCGCCGCUUGUGCGGGUCCCCGUCAAUUCCUUUGAGUUUUAGCCUUGCGGCCGUACUCCCCAGGCGGGGUGCUUAAUGCGUUAGCUGCGGCACGGAUCGCGUCGAUAGCGACCCACACCUAGCACCCAUCGUUUACGGCGUGGACUAC